RNAcentral lists this ribosomal RNA (253 nucleotides) under uncultured archaeon. Its description in RNAcentral is "partial 16S ribosomal RNA". It matches the Rfam family "Archaeal small subunit ribosomal RNA", at positions 381 to 634 of the family's 1478-position model. The record is from RNAcentral.
UCGAGUGGCAUCCACCUUGGGUGCCUGUCCAACCGUCUAAAAAACGGUUGUUAGCAAGGGCCGGGUAAGACCGGUGCCAGCCGCCGCGGUAAUACCGGCGGCUCGAGUGGUGGCCGAUAUUAUUGAGUCUAAAGGGUCCGUAGCCGGCUUUGCAAGUCCCCUGGGAAAUCCAGCGGCUUAACCGUUGGGCUUUCAUGGGAUACUACAUUGCUUGGGACUGGGAGAGGUAGGAGGUACUCGGGGGGUAGGGGUG